ACUUUCCACGUUUCCCACCCCUUGGAUCUAAAUACUGGUCUGAGUGGCGUUAACAAGGAGGAAAAGGAAAAGUGAAGUGGAUUUGUCGUCUUCGGUGACUUACAAGUUCAUUUCAAACAUAU
Molecule: small nucleolar RNA, 122 nt
Filed under: Echinops telfairi (small Madagascar hedgehog)
Lineage: Eukaryota; Metazoa; Chordata; Mammalia; Afrosoricida; Tenrecidae
Description: Small nucleolar RNA SNORA61 (ENSETEG00000024857.1)
Source: RNAcentral